RNAcentral lists this ribosomal RNA (492 nucleotides) under uncultured bacterium. Its description in RNAcentral is "partial 16S ribosomal RNA". It matches the Rfam family "Bacterial small subunit ribosomal RNA", at positions 29 to 507 of the family's 1533-position model. The record is from RNAcentral.
AGUGAACGCUGGCGGUAUGCCUAACACAUGCAAGUCGAACGGCAACACAGUAAGAGUUUGCUCUUACGGGUGGCGAGUGGCGGACGGGUGAGGAAUACAUCGGAAUCUACUUUUUCGUGGGGGAUAACGUAGGGAAACUUACGCUACUACCGCAUACGACCUACGGGUGAAAGCAGGGGUUCUUCGGACCUUGCGCGAUUGAAUGAGCCGAUGUCGGAUUAGCUAGUUGGCGAGGUAAAGGCCCACCAAGGCGACGAUGCGUAGCUGGUCUGAGAGGAUGAUCAGCCACACUGGAACUGAGACACGGUCCAGACUCCUACGGGAGGCAGCAGUGGGGAAUAUUGCGCAAUGGGCGCAAGCCUGAUCCAGCAAUACCGCGUGGGUGAAGAAGGCCUUCGGAUUGUAAAGCCCUUUUGUUGGGGAAGAAAAGCAGCAGGUUAAUACCCCGCUGUUCUGACGGUACCCAAAGAAUAAGCACCGGCUAACUUCGUG